This 1085-nucleotide ribosomal RNA is filed under the name Leucopaxillus sp. TO AVL20115. Its description in RNAcentral is "eukaryotic LSU rRNA". It matches the Rfam family "Eukaryotic large subunit ribosomal RNA", at positions 56 to 1101 of the family's 3401-position model. Lineage: Eukaryota; Fungi; Basidiomycota; Agaricomycetes; Agaricales; Tricholomataceae. The record is from RNAcentral.
AGAACUAACAAGGAUUCCCCUAGUAACUGCGAGUGAAGCGGGAAAAGCUCAAAUUUAAAAUCUGGCAGCUUUGCUGUCCGAGUUGUAAUCUAGAGAAGUGCUAUCCGCGCUGGACCGUGUACAAGUCUCCUGGAAUGGAGCGUCAUAGAGGGUGAGAAUCCCGUCUUUGACACGGACUACCAGGGCUUUUGUGAUGUGCUCUCAAAGAGUCGAGUUGUUUGGGAAUGCAGCUCUAAAUGGGUGGUAAAUUCCAUCUAAAGCUAAAUAUUGGCGAGAGACCGAUAGCGAACAAGUACCGUGAGGGAAAGAUGAAAAGAACUUUGGAAAGAGAGUUAAACAGUACGUGAAAUUGUUGAAAGGGAAACGCUUGAAGUCAGACACGUUGUUCAGGGAUCAACCUUGCUCUUUUGCUUGGUGUACUUCCUGGAUUGACGGGUCAGCAUCAAUUUUGACCGGUGGAUAAAGUUCAAAGGAAUGUAGCAUCUUCGGAUGUGUUAUAGACUUUGUUUGUAUACAUCGGUUGGGAUUGAGGAACUCAGCACGCCGCAAGGCCGGGUUUUUAACCACGUUCGUGCUUAGGAUGCUGGCAUAAUGGCUUAAUCGACCCGUCUUGAGACACGGACCAAGUGAGUCUAACAUGCAUGCGAGUGUUUGGGUGGAAAAACCCGAGCGCGUAAUGUAAGUGAUAAAUGUGAGAUCCCUGUCGUGGGGAGCAUCGAUGCCCGGACCAUGACCUUUUGUGAUCGGAUCCGUCGGUUGAGCAUGUAUGCUAGGUACCCGAUAAGAUGGUGAGACUAUGCCUGAGAUAGGGUGAAGCCAGAGGAACACUACUGGUGGAGGCUACGUAGCGAUUCAUGUACGAUGUCAAAUGCGAUCGUCAGUAAUUUGGGUAUAGGGGCGUACAAGAGCUAAUCGAACCAUUUAGUAGCUGGUUCCAUGCCGAAGUUUCCCUCAGGAUAGCAGAAACUCAUAUCAGAAUUGUAUGUGGUAAAGACGAAUGAAUUAGAGGCCUUGGGGUGUGCAACAACCUUAACCUAUUCUCAAACUUUAAAUAUGUAAGAACGGGUCGUACUCUUAGAUUGGAC